Molecule: long non-coding RNA, 633 nt
Filed under: Linum usitatissimum (flax)
Lineage: Eukaryota; Viridiplantae; Streptophyta; Magnoliopsida; Malpighiales; Linaceae
Description: long non-coding RNA (LUSI_LNC004117)
Source: RNAcentral
UAAAUAUGUUAGCAAACCCUAAAAUAAGAUUCAAAACUCAACUAAAGUUGCAGAAAUUUCUUUUACAUUAGAAAAAAACCAAUUUUUUAAAAUAAGACCUAAUUUGAACAUUUAGAUUAUUACCACACAACCAAUAAAAUAGAAAUCAGCUAAAGAAAUAUACUAAACGUUUUACCAAGCUGUUUCCUCUCUAUCUGCUGCUGCCAUCGAUUUCUGCAUCCAACCAAAAAAUAAAAACAAGAAUCCUGAUAGAACUCACAAAAUCAGAAAAAAUGGACUUCAAACUUAGAUCUACGGUAGGACAUGCAUGUCACCAGAGGGCUCACCGGAGCCUUCCUCGAUGACAUGCAAGUCUAAUGAAAUCAGAAAAACUGAAAAGAGAGCUCCGAAAUCUUUUACAUUUUCUUUCUUUCCAUGGUGGUGAUAGGGAGAGUAGGUGUGAGACAUAAGCAGCAGCCGUCGUCGCUGGAAAUUAAAAGGGUGGAGGGGAAGACGCGGCCGAGAAAGAAAAAAAAGUAAAAAAUAUAGCGGCGGCGGCCGCGGCGGUAGAGAAGGGGAAGGAGAGAAGAGGAGAGAAGAGAGAAGGAGAGUUAGAGAGAAGGCAGAGAGAAUAGAGAAGAGAGGAGAGAGAGU